UAAAACUAACCAAUUCUCUCU
This 21-nucleotide non-coding RNA is filed under the name Caenorhabditis elegans. The record is from RNAcentral. Lineage: Eukaryota; Metazoa; Nematoda; Chromadorea; Rhabditida; Rhabditidae.